AUUGAACGCUGGCGGCAGGCUUAACACAUGCAAGUUCGAGCGGAGAGAGGUAGCUUGCUACUGAUCUUAGCGGCGGACGGGUGAGUAAUACUUAGGAAUCUGGCUAUUAGUGGGGGACAACAUUUCGAAAGGGAUGCUAAUACCGCAUACGUCCUACGGGAGAAAGCAGGGGAUCUUCGGACUUUGCGCUAAUAGAUGAGCCUAAGUCGGAUUAGCUAGUUGGUGGGGUAAAGGCCUACCAAGGCGACGAUCUGUAGCGGGUCUGAGAGGAUGAUCCGCCACACUGGGACUGAGACACGGCCCAGACUCCUACGGGAGGCAGCAGUGGGGAAUAUUGGACAAUGGGGGGAACCCUGAUCC
Molecule: ribosomal RNA, 360 nt
Filed under: uncultured bacterium
Lineage: Bacteria
Description: bacterial SSU rRNA
Rfam family: Bacterial small subunit ribosomal RNA
Source: RNAcentral